This 408-nucleotide ribosomal RNA is filed under the name Plethodon yonahlossee (Yonahlossee salamander). RNAcentral describes it as "partial 16S ribosomal RNA". It matches the Rfam family "Bacterial large subunit ribosomal RNA", at positions 1970 to 2581 of the family's 2925-position model. The record is from RNAcentral. Lineage: Eukaryota; Metazoa; Chordata; Amphibia; Caudata; Plethodontidae.
UGUCUCUUAAAUAGAGACCUGUAUGAAUGGCAAAACGAAAGCCCAACUGUCUCAUCAAAUUAAUCAGUGAAAUUGAUAUCCCCGUGCAAAAGCGGAGAUAAUUUUAUAAGACGAGAAGACCCUACGGAGCUUAAAACCUAAAUUAAUAUAAUUAAAUAAAUAAUCCAGGGCUUUAGGUUGGGGCGACCACGGGGAAUAAUAGAACCCCCGAGAUAUAUAGUUAAGAAAAACACUUCAAAAUAACACCACAGUUGAUGUAAUUGACCCAAUAAUUGAUCAACGAACCAAGUUACCCUAGGGAUAACAGCGCAAUCCUCUCAUAGAGUCCAUAUCGACGAGCGGGUUUACGACCUCGAUGUUGGAUCAAGACUACCAAAUGGNGCANNAGCUAUUAAAGGUUNGUUNGUU